GUGGGUGUAGCUCAGUGGUGUUAGAGCACAUGCUUAGCAUGGACAAGGUCCUGGGUUCAACCCCCAGUACCUCCG
RNAcentral lists this transfer RNA (75 nucleotides) under Camelus bactrianus (Bactrian camel). It matches the Rfam family "tRNA". Rfam says of the family: Transfer RNA (tRNA) molecules are approximately 80 nucleotides in length. Their secondary structure includes four short double-helical elements and three loops (D, anti-codon, and T loops). Further hydrogen bonds mediate the characteristic L-shaped molecular structure. tRNAs have two regions of fundamental functional importance: the anti-codon, which is responsible for specific mRNA codon recognition, and the 3' end, to which the tRNAs corresponding amino acid is attached (by aminoacyl-tRNA synthetases). tRNAs cope with the degeneracy of the genetic code in two manners: having more than one tRNA (with a specific anti-codon) for a particular amino acid; and 'wobble' base-pairing, i.e. permitting non-standard base-pairing at the 3rd anti-codon position. RNAcentral also lists the same sequence under 1 other name. The record is from Rfam by way of RNAcentral. Lineage: Eukaryota; Metazoa; Chordata; Mammalia; Artiodactyla; Camelidae.